GGAGUCUGGGCCGUGUCUCAGUCCCAGUGUGGGGGGCCUUCCUCUCAGAACCCCUAUCCAUCGUAGGCUCGGUGGGCCGUUACCCCGCCGACUGCCUAAUGGAACGCAUCCCCAUCCCUAUCCGACAAAAGCCUUUGCCCUGGUAAACAUGCGGAAACCAGGGAACAUCGGGUAUUAAUCCCUCUUUCGAGGGGCUGUCCCCGAGAUAGGGCCAGGUUGGAUACGCGUUACUCACCCGUGCGCCGGUCGCCAUCUGGAAUAGCAAGCUAUCCCAAUGCUGCCCCUCGACUUGCAUGUGUUAAGCCUGUAGCUAGCGUUCAUC
RNAcentral lists this ribosomal RNA (322 nucleotides) under uncultured Bacteroides sp. Its description in RNAcentral is "partial 16S ribosomal RNA". Lineage: Bacteria; Pseudomonadati; Bacteroidota; Bacteroidia; Bacteroidales; Bacteroidaceae. The record is from RNAcentral.